GCAUAUGUGGGCAAUAUGGCUUCUGUCAUCUCACUGAUUGGCAAGGCUGGUGUCCCCCAGCUCCCUCAUGGUUCCACACAUGUCCUUCCCAUAUGUGUAGGUUAAAGAGGAGGACCUUCCCAGAUAAAAGAGGACUGGUCUUUGGUCAAAGGUAUUCAAGUAGCUACGCUCCUUUGCUAGAACCUCUCAAAUAUUACCAAAUAUUCUUCAAAUAUUUUGCAGAGCAUAAUUUUUUGAGUAAUAUAAAUACCAAUAUUAGCUGGGCACAUGCCUUU
RNAcentral lists this small nuclear RNA (275 nucleotides) under Nannospalax galili (Upper Galilee mountains blind mole rat). RNAcentral's name for it is "7SK RNA (ENSNGAG00000006039.1)". It matches the Rfam family "7SK RNA". Rfam says of the family: 7SK was discovered as an abundant small nuclear RNA in the mid-70s but a possible function has only recently been suggested. Two independent studies have found that 7SK RNA binds the CDK9/cyclin T complex (known as elongation factor P-TEFb). P-TEFb activates transcription by phosphorylating the C-terminal domain of RNA polymerase II. The record is from Rfam by way of RNAcentral. Lineage: Eukaryota; Metazoa; Chordata; Mammalia; Rodentia; Spalacidae.